GAGCCCCAGUUUAAUAUUCUCUUCACUCAUCUGCCGCUGACACGUGAAGUUCUCUCUUGUCCACAGAGGCCUCGCCUUUCAUUUGGAGCCCUUCGAAGGCUUCAGACUCACUGUAUCUUGGCAGAUGUAAGAAGAGUUAAGUUUUUGAGGACAGACAGGGGCUUGAAGGAACAGCAUGAGCAUGAGGAAGUAGCAGUAAGAGAACUUGGCAUGACAGGGAAUGGGGCAUUGCUUAGGGUUCUUUUGAGUCUGAAAAACGUGGUGUCUUUGGACCUCUAGGUUAUAGUGUGGUUAGACCUAAUUCUGUGGACAUCCGGGGCCCAUUUCUGCAGUUGAGGUGGACCUGACAAGGUCACUGCCUCUGAGAGGAGCCUCUCACCGGAACAGGCACCAGGUCCUUGAGGUUGGGCACCGAGCCUGGUUUCACUUGAUGAUGGUCGUUUGCUCAUCGAGGGCCUGACCAGCACUCCAAGACUUCGCCCUCUCUCUCUGAUGGUUAACUCGCUCCUGGGUUAGUUGUCUGGCUGGAGCUCUGGGUUUUUGAAGUUACUUGGCUGCCUGUUAAGUCAAAUGGAAUGAUUCAUUUGUGUUUGUAAGCUCUUCAUUAGCAUUCAAGAUAAUAACUCUCAUUUAUAUGACACUAAAUUGCUUUCACACAAAUUAAUCUCAUUUGAUGUGAUCUUCAAAACAAGCCUGUGAGAUAGGCAAUGACCAUUAGCUCCAGUUUAUAGGUGAGAAGACGAAGUUUAAUUGAUUUGCCCAGCAUAGGGUGGCUAGUAAAUGCAAAGCACCUGCCCAAACCUGAAUUUUCUACUCCUCUCUCAGAACUUUUUCCAUGACCCACACUUAAGGAGCACCUAGGGCAAUAAAAGACAGAUUUUGGGGCCUCAGAGAGCCUUGGGACUCCAACAGUGACACAGAUGGAGAUUUGACUAGAUAAAGCUGCCCAAUCUGGCUGACCCCAACAGAUAUUGAACUGGUCUGGAAAGUUGGAUGAAUAUGUGUCAAAAUUUGCAUUAAAACUACCACAGCA
Molecule: long non-coding RNA, 1033 nt
Organism: Pipistrellus kuhlii (Kuhl's pipistrelle)
Lineage: Eukaryota; Metazoa; Chordata; Mammalia; Chiroptera; Vespertilionidae
Exons: 2
Source: RefSeq, a predicted model, not a curated record